Molecule: unclassified non-coding RNA, 289 nt
Filed under: fungal sp.
Lineage: Eukaryota; Fungi
Description: partial internal transcribed spacer region
Rfam family: Eukaryotic small subunit ribosomal RNA (bases 1-46)
Source: RNAcentral
AAGUCGUAACAAGGUAACCGUAGGUGAACCUGCGGUUGGAUCAUUAACAAAUUCAACCAAAAAAGUUUGUGGGUUAAAGCUAACUACUUUUCCCACACUCUUUUUUACACACAAUGUGAACUGUUUAUUGUCUCUGGUGGUGUUAAAAGACUUCUUCAUUGAAGUUGGGGAAAAUUUAUUUUCCUUACCCACCGAUUUAUAUCUUAAACUUAUCUUCUUUAAUGGUCUUUAAAAAUUUAAAAAAAAGUUAAUUAAAAAACAACUUUUGGCAACGGAUCUCUAGGCUCUU